This 478-nucleotide ribosomal RNA is filed under the name uncultured bacterium. RNAcentral describes it as "partial 16S ribosomal RNA". It matches the Rfam family "Bacterial small subunit ribosomal RNA", at positions 28 to 523 of the family's 1533-position model. The record is from RNAcentral.
GACGAACGCUGGCGGCGUGCUUAACACAUGCAAGUCGAACGGUAAGGCCCUUCGGGGUACACGAGUGGCGAACGGGUGAGUAACACGUGGGUGAUCUGCCCUGCACUUCGGGAUAAGCCUGGGAAACUGGGUCUAAUACCGGAUAGGACCACUGCCUACAUGGGUGGUGGUGGAAAGCUUUUGCGGUGUGGGAUGGGCCCGCGGCCUAUCAGCUUGUUGGUGGGGUGAUGGCCUACCAAGGCGACGACGGGUAGCCGGCCUGGGAGGGUGACCGGCCACACUGGGACUGAGAUACGGCGCAGACUCCUACGGGAGGCAGCAGUGGGGAAUAUUGCACAAUGGGCGCAAGCCUGAUGCAGCGACGCCGCGUGAGGGAUGACGGCCUUCGGGUUGUAAACCUCUUUCAGCACCGACGAAGCGCAAGUGACGGUAGGUGCAGAAGAAGGACCGGCCAACUACGUGCCAGCCGCCGCCGUAA